GAUCCUGGCUCAGGAUAAACGCUGGCGGCGUGCUUAACACAUGCAAGUCGAACGAAGUUUUUCUUUCGGGAGGAACUUAGUGGCGGACGGGUGAGUAACGCGUGGGUAACCUGCCCUGUACAGGGGGACAACAGCUGGAAACGGCUGCUAAUACCGCAUAAGCCCUUAGCACUGCAUGGUGCAUAGGGAAAAGGAGCAAUCCGGUACAGGAUGGACCCGCGUCUGAUUAGCCAGUUGGCAGGGUAACGGCCU
This 252-nucleotide ribosomal RNA is filed under the name uncultured bacterium. RNAcentral's name for it is "partial 16S ribosomal RNA". It matches the Rfam family "Bacterial small subunit ribosomal RNA", at positions 15 to 266 of the family's 1533-position model. The record is from RNAcentral.